GCCCAGCCAGUAUGAGUGGAUAUGACCCUCGGCUUUUAACCGAGUGGGUUCGGGUUCGAAUCCCGAGUAAGGCA
Molecule: transfer RNA, 74 nt
Filed under: Trichonephila inaurata madagascariensis
Lineage: Eukaryota; Metazoa; Arthropoda; Arachnida; Araneae; Nephilidae
Description: tRNA-Lys
Rfam family: tRNA
About the family: Transfer RNA (tRNA) molecules are approximately 80 nucleotides in length. Their secondary structure includes four short double-helical elements and three loops (D, anti-codon, and T loops). Further hydrogen bonds mediate the characteristic L-shaped molecular structure. tRNAs have two regions of fundamental functional importance: the anti-codon, which is responsible for specific mRNA codon recognition, and the 3' end, to which the tRNAs corresponding amino acid is attached (by aminoacyl-tRNA synthetases). tRNAs cope with the degeneracy of the genetic code in two manners: having more than one tRNA (with a specific anti-codon) for a particular amino acid; and 'wobble' base-pairing, i.e. permitting non-standard base-pairing at the 3rd anti-codon position.
Source: RNAcentral